AGUCGAGCGGUCACUUCGGUGACAGCGGCGAACGGGUGAGUAACGCGUUGGUAACUGCCCCGCACUCAGGGAUAACUCCUAGAAAUAGGAGCUAAUACCGGAUGGUCCCGAAAGGGUAAAGAUUUUUCGGUGCGGGAGGUGCCUGCGUCCUAUCAGCUUGUUGGUGAGGUAACUGCUUACCAAGGCUAUGACGGGUAGCUGGUCUGAGAAGAUGAUCAGCCACAAUGGGACUGAGACACGGCCCAUACUCC
RNAcentral lists this ribosomal RNA (251 nucleotides) under uncultured bacterium. RNAcentral describes it as "partial 16S ribosomal RNA". It matches the Rfam family "Bacterial small subunit ribosomal RNA", at positions 60 to 339 of the family's 1533-position model. The record is from RNAcentral.